UGGUGGGGUAACGGCCUACCAAGCCUAAGAUCCGUACGGGCCAUGGGAGUGGGAGCCCGGAGAUGGACCCUGAGACAAGGGUCCAGGCCCUACGGGGCGCAGCAGGCGCGAAACCUCCGCAAUGCGGGAAACCGCGACGGGGUCGGCCGGAGUGCCGAUGCUUGCAUCGGCUGUCGGGGAGCCUAAAAAGCUCCCCAUAGCAAGGGCCGGGCAAGGCCGGUGGCAGCCGCCGCGGUAAUACCGGCGGCCCGAGUGGCGGCCACUAUUAUUGGGCUUAAAGCGUCCGUAGCCGGGUUGGUUAGUCUCCCGGGAAAUCUGGCCGCUUAGCGGUCAGAAUUCCGGGAGAUACUGCCAGCCUAGGGACCGGGAGAGGCCGAGGGUAUUCCCGGAGUAGGGGUGAAAUCCUAUAAUCCCGGGAGGACCACCUGUGGCGAAGGCGCUCGGCUGGAACGGGUCCGACGGUGAGGGACGAAGGCCAGGGGAGCAAACCGGAUUAGAU
This 499-nucleotide ribosomal RNA is filed under the name uncultured microorganism. RNAcentral describes it as "bacterial SSU rRNA". It matches the Rfam family "Archaeal small subunit ribosomal RNA", at positions 234 to 734 of the family's 1478-position model. The record is from RNAcentral.